GCUCGUUUAAUUUUCAUAAAAUUUUGUCAAAGUAUUUACUUAAACACUUUAACAAAAAUAUAAAAAUUAAAAAAAAAUUUGAACCAACCAUUUUGCCAGAAAAAUUACACUGGUUAUAUAGCAAUUUGACAAACACCAAUUUUGAUCAUUGAGAAGCUUAAUAUUCCUUUUACAACACAAUGUAAUUAAAACGUUUAGCUGACUUUACAGAGUUAUCUCCCUGUAGUGUUAGGUACCACCUUAAAGCC
Molecule: long non-coding RNA, 248 nt
Filed under: Mytilus galloprovincialis (Mediterranean mussel)
Lineage: Eukaryota; Metazoa; Mollusca; Bivalvia; Mytilida; Mytilidae
Source: RNAcentral